CAGUCGAGCGGACGAACGGGACCUGGUUCCCUUCGUCAGCGGCGGAUGGGUGAGUAACACGUGGGCAACCUGCCUGUAAGACUGGGAUAACUUCCGGAAACCGGAGCUAAUACCGGAUAACUUCUUUUUCCUCCUGGGAAAAGGUUGAAAGACGGCUUUGGCUGUCACUUACAGAUGGGCCCGCGGCGCAAUAGCUAGUUGGUGGGGUAACGGCUCACCAAGGCAACGAUGCGUAGCCCACCUGAGAGGGUGAUCGGCCACACUGGGACUGAAACACGGCCCAAACUCCUACGGGAGGCAGCAGUAGGGAAUCUUCCGCAAUGGACGAAAGUCUGACGGAACAACGCCCCGUGAGUGAUGAAGGUCUUCGGAUCGUAAAACUCUGUUAUCAGGGAAGAACAAGUAUCGGAAUAACUGCCGGUACCUUGACGGUACCUGACCAGAAAGCCACGGCUAACUACGUGCCAGCAGCCGCGGUAAUACGUAAGUGGCAAGCGUUGUCCGGAAUUAUUGGGCGUAAAGCGCGCGCAGGCGGUCUCUUAAGUCUGAUGUGAAAUCCCGUGGCUUAACCACGGGCGGUCAUUGGAAACUGGGGGACUUGAGUGCANAAGAAAAGAACGGAAUUCCACGUGUAGCGGUGAAAUGCGUAAAGAUGUGGAGGAACCCAGUGGCGAAGCGGCUCUUUGGUCUGUAACUGACGCUGAAGCGCGAAAGCGUGGGGAGCGAACGGAUUAGAACCCGGUAUCCACCCGUAACGAUGAUGCUAAUGUUAAAGGUUCCGCCUUUAUGCUGCGUUAAGCAUUAACACUCCGCUGGGGAUACGCCGCAAGCUGAACUCAAGGAAUGACGGGGCCCCACAGCGGGGAGAUGUGGUUAAUUCAAGCACGGAAAACCUACCAGUCUGACUCCCCUGACGGUCU
Molecule: ribosomal RNA, 920 nt
Filed under: Lederbergia lenta
Lineage: Bacteria; Bacillati; Bacillota; Bacilli; Caryophanales; Bacillaceae
Description: bacterial SSU rRNA
Rfam family: Bacterial small subunit ribosomal RNA
Source: RNAcentral